Molecule: transfer RNA, 86 nt
Filed under: bacterium
Lineage: Bacteria
Also listed under: 4 other names
Description: tRNA-Tyr
Rfam family: tRNA
About the family: Transfer RNA (tRNA) molecules are approximately 80 nucleotides in length. Their secondary structure includes four short double-helical elements and three loops (D, anti-codon, and T loops).
Source: RNAcentral
GGGGAGAUACCCAAGCGGUCAACGGGAUCAGACUGUAAAUCUGACGGCUGAAGCCUUCGAAGGUUCGAAUCCUUCUCUCCCCACCA